ACCGGAACUGAGACACGGUCCGGACUCCUACGGGAGGCAGCAGUGGGGAAUAUUGGACAAUGGGCGCAAGCCUGAUCCAGCGACGCCGCGUGGGUGAAGAAGGCCUGCGGGUUGUAAAGCCCUUUCGGUAGGGACGAAAACUCUCGACUUAACACGUCGAGGGAUUGACUUAACCUACAUAAGAAGCACCGGCUAACUCUGUGCCAGCAGCCGCGGUAAUACAGAGGGUGCGAGCGUUAAUCGGAAUUACUGGGCGUAAAGCGCACGUAGUCGGCUUUGCAAGUCGGUUGUGAAAUCCCCGGGCUCAACCUGGGAACUGCAUCCGAGACUGCAUUGCUAGAGUAUGGGAGAGGAAAGCGGAAUUUCUGGUGUAGCAGUGAAAUGCGUAGAUAUCAGAAGGAACAUCAGUGGCGAAGGCGGCUUUCUGGACCAAUACUGACGAUCAGGUGCGAAAGCGUGGGGAGCAAACAGGAUUAGAUACCCUGGUAGUCCACGCCCUAAACGAUGACAACUGGAUGUCGGGAGGGUUUGCCUUCCGGUGUCGUAGCUAACGCGUUAAGUUGUCCGCCUGGGAAGUACGGCCGCAAGGUUGAA
RNAcentral lists this ribosomal RNA (594 nucleotides) under uncultured bacterium. RNAcentral's name for it is "bacterial SSU rRNA". It matches the Rfam family "Bacterial small subunit ribosomal RNA", at positions 312 to 898 of the family's 1533-position model. The record is from RNAcentral.